Molecule: ribosomal RNA, 376 nt
Filed under: uncultured Hydrogenophaga sp.
Lineage: Bacteria; Pseudomonadati; Pseudomonadota; Betaproteobacteria; Burkholderiales; Comamonadaceae
Description: bacterial SSU rRNA
Rfam family: Bacterial small subunit ribosomal RNA
Source: RNAcentral
AGAGAUAGAGGAGUGCUCGAAGAGAGCCGUAACACAGGUGCUGCAUGGCUGUCGUCAGCUCGUGUCGUGAGAUGUUGGGUUAAGUCCCGCAACGAGCGCAACCCUUGUCAUUAGUUGCUACGAAAGGGCACUCUAAUGAGACUGCCGGUGACAAACCGGAGGAAGGUGGGGAUGACGUCAAGUCCUCAUGGCCCUUAUAGGUGGGGGCUACACACGUCAUACAAUGGCUGGUACAAAGGGUUGCCAACCCGCGAGGGGGAGCUAAUCCCAUAAAGCCAGUCGUAGUCCGGAUCGCAGUCUGCAACUCGACUGCGUGAAGUCGGAAUCGCUAGUAAUCGUGGAUCAGCAUGUCACGGUGAAUACGUUCCCGGGUCUU